Long non-coding RNA from Aethalodelphis obliquidens (Pacific white-sided dolphin), 699 nucleotides. RefSeq lists it as uncharacterized. NCBI's taxonomy places the organism in Eukaryota, Metazoa, Chordata, Mammalia, Artiodactyla, Delphinidae. The transcript is spliced from 2 exons. The record is from RefSeq and is a predicted model, not a curated record.
CCCGGGCCAGGGAUCAAGCCUGGGCCCCCUGCAUUGGGAGUGUGGAGUCUUAACCAUUGCACCACCAGGGAAGUCCCUGUCCUUCCGUGUUCUUCACUAUUUAAUCUGACUUUAUUGCUAAACACUGGUCUUCACAAGCAGAGGAAAUGUGUCUUGCAUUCAAAGGUGUUUUUAUAAGCACCCAGCCCAAACCAGGGAGUGUAGGAGGCACUUAAAUAAAUACUGGUUGGCAAAGCGCUGUCACCCACAGAUCAGUCAACAGCCCAGUCAUUCCUUGUUCCCUGAGCCAUUCAGCCACAGGGCGUGAUAGGAAGAACUUGACUUCACAAGUCAGACAAACCCAGGUUUCACCAACCCUGGGUGCCCUCCUCGUGAUCUCAGGAACGAGGCAGCUUCCAUUCCUUACGCAUCUACCAUGUGAUGUGUUGGAUGCUCUGCAAACCACGUGUCUAUGCGUCUCAUGGGACCAAGCGAGGACUGUCUUCCCCAUUUUACAGAUGAAAAAAGGGAAGUUUAAAAGAAGGUAGAACCCUCGUGCAAAAUCGACGGCUCAGGAGGCAGAACGGUCAGAAUUCGAAUGCUGAGGAUUGCCCAUAGUCUAACCAUUGCACAAACCCACAAUCUGAGAAGGACGUUUCCCUGGGACACUGUCACAUAUGCUCAGAAUCUCUUUUGGUUAAAAAUGAACUCGGAACCCCA